Molecule: transfer RNA, 69 nt
Filed under: Poeciliopsis occidentalis (Gila topminnow)
Lineage: Eukaryota; Metazoa; Chordata; Actinopteri; Cyprinodontiformes; Poeciliidae
Also listed under: 1 other name
Description: tRNA-His
Rfam family: tRNA
About the family: Transfer RNA (tRNA) molecules are approximately 80 nucleotides in length.
Source: RNAcentral
GUAGAUAUAGUUUAAUUAAAACAUUAGAUUGUGAUUCUAAAGAAAGGGGUUAAUAUCCCCUUAUCCACC